GGCUCAGGAUGAACGCUGGCGGCGUGCCUAAUACAUGCAAGUCGAGCGAACGGACGAGAAGCUUGCUUCUCUGAUGUUAGCGGCGGACGGGUGAGUAACACGUGGAUAACCUACCUAUAAGACUGGGAUAACUUCGGGAAACCGGAGCUAAUACCGGAUAAUAUUUUGAACCGCAUGGUUCAAAAGUGAAAGACGGUCUUGCUGUCACUUAUAGAUGGAUCCGCGCUGCAUUAGCUAGUUGGUAAGGUAACGGCUUACCAAGGCAACGAUGCAUAGCCGACCUGAGAGGGUGAUCGGCCACACUGGAACUGAGACACGGUCCAGACUCCUACGGGAGGCAGCAGUAGGGAAUCUUCCGCAAUGGGCGAAAGCCUGACGGAGCAACGCCGCGUGAGUGAUGAAGGUCUUCGGAUCGUAAAACUCUGUUAUUAGGGAAGAACAUAUGUGUAAGUAACUGUGCACAUCUUGACGGUACCUAAUCAGAAAGCCACGGCUAACUACGUGCCAGCAGCCGCGGUAAUACGUAGGUGGCAAGCGUUAUCCGGAAUUAUUGGGCGUAAAGCGCGCGUAGGCGGUUUUUUAAGUCUGAUGUGAAAGCCCACGGCUCAACCGUGGAGGGUCAUUGGAAACUGGAAAACUUGAGUGCAGAAGAGGAAAGUGGAAUUCCAUGUGUAGCGGUGAAAUGCGCAGAGAUAUGGAGGAACACCAGUGGCGAAGGCGACUUUCUGGUCUGUAACUGACGCUGAUGUGCGAAAGCGUGGGGAUCAAACAGGAUUAGAUACCCUGGUAGUCCACGCCGUAAACGAUGAGUGCUAAGUGUUAGGGGGUUUCCGCCCCUUAGUGCUGCAGCUAACGCAUUAAGCACUCCGCCUGGGGAGUACGACCGCAAGGUUGAAACUCAAAGGAAUUGACGGGGACCCGCACAAGCGGUGGAGCAUGUGGUUUAAUUCGAAGCAACGCGAAGAACCUUACCAAAUCUUGACAUCCUUUGACAACUCUAGAGAUAGAGCCUUCCCCUUCGGGGGACAAAGUGACAGGUGGUGCAUGGUUGUCGUCAGCUCGUGUCGUGAGAUGUUGGGUUAAGUCCCGCAACGAGCGCAACCCUUAAGCUUAGUUGCCAUCAUUAAGUUGGGCACUCUAAGUUGACUGCCGGUGACAAACCGGAGGAAGGUGGGGAUGACGUCAAAUCAUCAUGCCCCUUAUGAUUUGGGCUACACACGUGCUACAAUGGACAAUACAAAGGGUAGCGAAACCGCGAGGUCAAGCAAAUCCCAUAAAGUUGUUCUCAGUUCGGAUUGUAGUCUGCAACUCGACUACAUGAAGCUGGAAUCGCUAGUAAUCGUAGAUCAGCAUGCUACGGUGAAUACGUUCCCGGGUCUUGUACACACCGCCCGUCACACCACGAGAGUUUGUAACACCCGAAGCCGGUGGAGUAACCUUUUAGGAGCUAGCCGUCGAAGGUGGGACAAAUGAUUGGGGUG
Molecule: ribosomal RNA, 1481 nt
Filed under: Staphylococcus sp. WW81
Lineage: Bacteria; Bacillati; Bacillota; Bacilli; Caryophanales; Staphylococcaceae
Description: 16S ribosomal RNA
Rfam family: Bacterial small subunit ribosomal RNA
Source: RNAcentral